CAAUAGCGUAUGUUAAAGUUGUUGCGGUUAAAAAGCUCGUAGUUGGAUUUCUGCCGAGGACGACCGGUCCGCCCUCUGGGUGAGCAUCUGGCUCGGCCUGGGCAUCUUCUUGGAGAACGUAUCUGCACUUGACUGUGUGGUGCGGUAUUCAGGACUUUUACUUUGAGGAAAUUAGAGUGUUUCAAGCAGGCACACGCCUUGAAUACAUUAGCAUGGAAUAAUAAGAUAGGACCUCGGUUCUAUUUUGUUGGUUUCUAGAUCUGAGGUAAUGAUUAAUAGGGAUAGUUGGGGGCAUUCGUAUUUAACUGUCAGAGGUGAAAUUCUUAGAUUUGUUGAAGAUGAACUAAUGCGAAAGCAUUUACCAAGAAUGUUUCCAUUAG
RNAcentral lists this ribosomal RNA (380 nucleotides) under uncultured eukaryote. Its description in RNAcentral is "partial 18S ribosomal RNA". It matches the Rfam family "Eukaryotic small subunit ribosomal RNA", at positions 592 to 976 of the family's 1831-position model. The record is from RNAcentral.